This 523-nucleotide ribosomal RNA is filed under the name Cebrioninae sp. BMNH 679376. RNAcentral's name for it is "partial 16S ribosomal RNA". It matches the Rfam family "Archaeal large subunit ribosomal RNA", at positions 1957 to 2678 of the family's 2987-position model. Lineage: Eukaryota; Metazoa; Arthropoda; Insecta; Coleoptera; Elateridae. The record is from RNAcentral.
CAUGUCUUUUUGAUAAUAAUUUAAGGUUUAAUCUGCUCAAUGAGGAGUUAAAUUGCCGCGGUAUUUUGACCGUGCAAAGGUAGCAUAAUAAUUAGUUUUUUGAUUGAAAGCUGGAAUGAAUGAUUGGACGAGAAGAUAGCUGUCUCUUUCUUAUUUAUUUUUUAAUUUAUCUUUUAAGUAAAAAGGCUUAAAUUUAUAUAAAAGACGAGAAGACCCUAUAGAGUUUGAUAGUUAUUUGAUUUAUAUUAUUUUGGUAUUUUAUUAGUUUAUGUUGAUUAACUAUUUAGUUGGGGUGACUAAAAGAUUUAAUAAACUCUUUUAAUUUACAAUCAUUGAUUUUUGAAUUUGUAAUCUAAUUUUAUUAAGUUUAAGAUAAAUUACCUUAGGGAUAACAGCGUAAUUUUUCUUUAGAGUUCUUAUUGUAAGGGAAGUUUACGACCUCGAUGUUGGAUUAAAGUUUAUUUUUGGUGCAAGGGCUGGAAAAUUGAGUCUGUUCGACUUUUAAAACUUUACAUGAUCUGAG